UCCCGGGUGGCUUAGACGGUAAAGCGUCUGCCUUCAAUGCUGGAGACCCGGGUUCAGUCCCUGGGUUGGGAA
RNAcentral lists this transfer RNA (72 nucleotides) under Bos taurus (domestic cattle). It matches the Rfam family "tRNA". Rfam says of the family: Transfer RNA (tRNA) molecules are approximately 80 nucleotides in length. The record is from Rfam by way of RNAcentral. RNAcentral also lists the same sequence under 3 other names. Lineage: Eukaryota; Metazoa; Chordata; Mammalia; Artiodactyla; Bovidae.